GGCCGGGGGCGGCCGAGAGCGCCGGGCGCGCGGCUUCCGAAGUCGCCAGCGGCCCUGGAGACUUGACUUCGCUCUCUCCUCCCGCCCCCCCUGCCGGUCACCGUACAAAUUCUCCGGAUCGUCUGGAUUAGAAUCGGGUUCUAUAGAAUGUGCAAGCGGUUUCCACUCACCCGGCGGGGAGGCCAAAAAUGAAAAGAGAGGGUAGUUCUCAAGCGAAGAAGCGGGUGCUUUAGAGCCUGCCUGCUGCUUUAUAUUUGUGCUCCUGGAUUCUAGCUAUAGUAUAAGUUCCCUUGAAGAUAAAGAAUGGAACCCAGGUUUCUUCCAUAUCACCGUCAACACGUGGCAGAGAGCUGAACUUGCGAUGGAAUCUCUUUAAUUCUUGACAAUCAACAUUGAUUAGAAGUCACAUCUGUCUAGAAAAUAACCCCAAGAAAACUACAGAAAUCACCUCAAAAAUAAAUGAAAAAAGCUGUUGUUUUCCUGCCUCCAUACCAUGCUCCCACUUGACACUGAUGGAGGAAGUCACCGAUUUUCAGUUAAAAAUGCGAUAGGAGUGAAAAUGCAGUUAGAAGCUACAGGUAGGCUUUGGGUUUCUGUUCUGAGCCAUCGCUGCUGGCGAAUACAUGUGUGAAAUGCUAGUUACCAUAGCAACCAGUGCUGCAAGAUUUUUUUUUUCACUUUGGUUUAUGAAUCCAAAUCAAUAAAUGUUUAUAAAUAACUCUCCAAUUGGCUAAAAGAAGUAGAAGCACAAGCCAGAACAAUCCUUCUGUCCUGUGAAUGUGAGUCAUACAUAUGUUGGCCACAUUCUGGGGACAGAAAAAGGCUAUCAAUGGAAUAAACAAUUGGCCACAUCAUUUUCUUUGCAAGAGCAAUUAGGAAAAACCCUGCUGAGUGAAAAUCUAUUUCACAUGCUUACUGACAACAAAGAAUACAAAGUAUGCUCACCCAAGGGGCAUCAAGAGAAGACUGCAGAAAUCACUGACUUCAGUAAUACAGAUACUAGGUCUGAAAGAGAACAUUGAUGUAAUUGCACCUAAGUGAUGAUACUGAAGUUCAAAUGGAGUAGGUAGAGACAUUAUUCUGCAUUUGUGGAUUUACAUGUUCUCUAGGAUAUGCAAGCAGAAUUCAUACAAACGUAGAAUUUGCUCUGAAGAGUCCCAACAAAAAUCAAAUCAGGCCACCAACCAGGGUAAGGAUUCUUUCUAUAGCAUUCCAAACAGAUGGUCAAACAGCCUCUCUCAGGAUAUUUUUAGUGAAAGGGAAAGUCAUUUUUCUCCAAUCUCUAUCUAGUAGCUGUUAGAUUUAUUUCCUGAGCCAAAAUCUCCUCCCACUCUCAUCCUUUAACUCGUAUCCAUUGGUCUUAGUUUGUUCUUUGGCACAACAAAGAACUAAUCCAUGUGGUUCCUCCUCUUGGUGACAGCCUUUCCAACCUUUGCAAGCAGCCACCAAGUGCUUCUUUAGUCUUCUCUUACUCUUGGUUUAGUUUUCACCUCUCCCCUCUCAGGAUGCCCUUGACUUGUCAGCAUUCUUCUCUAAAUGUGGAUGCCCCGAAUAAUCUGUACAAAUCCCCAGAUGUGAGUUAAGAUUUCAGAGCACAGUGAAACAACUUCCUGUGCUUUUUCUAUCUAUGGAUUUGGCUAAGUUUAUGUUCAAAUUUUCUUUUCUUUCCCCAUGCCACACCCCUUUUUUUUUUAUAGCCACACCACACCAUUAGCACAUAGUAAACUUCUGGUAGGCUAAAACACACAGGGCACCCCAUCCCAGAAUAGGAACAAAUUAUGUAAAUAUUUCUCCCAGGAAGAACCCAACUGGGACAGGGAUUCCCUGGCAAGCCACUACCCUGACAAGCAAAAAUGAACAGCUGUUCUGAUCAUUUUGGCAAACAUUUUUGCUGGCUGACAUAAAAUGGAGAAGGAGUAAUUGUCCACAAGCUGUGGUUUGAAGGGUCAUAGAGAAGUGUACCACCCCAAAAUGUGUCACUCAUCCAAAUGCCAAAAUAGCUGGAAUUUUACGAUUUGGAAAGGUUAGCAAAUCCUGGCUAUUUUUUCCCCAAAAGGACAUAUUAAAUCACUAACAAUUUAGUGUGAAUAGGAUGACCACAUUUCUUUCUUCCAGGCAAAGAAAACUUGGGACAGUAAGAAAACACUAACUUUCUGGAUUUGAAGAGAAGGGAGAGGAGUUAAAAUCAGGGGAAAACUUUUGAAAGAAGUAGUAGGAUAGCCCAAAGCUUUACCUGUUUGCUCUGCUUCAUUGUUAAUGCUGUCUAUGGCCAGGGCAAAAGUCACAAACUCAAAUGGACACCAGUGAAAGAAAUAGGAGGGUAGAAGAAAAACUACAGCGAUGAUAUAAUAAAUGGACCCAGGACAAUGGGGGAGUGCUGGGAGCAUUGCAAUCUGGAGGCUUCCACUAAAAGGGCAACCACAGCUCAGCUUCAGCCAAAUAUCUCAAAGGCCCUGUAUUGGCAGAUCUUUUAGACUUUUGGAAAUCUGAAGAUUUAUGUAAAAUCUUCAAGUUUGGGACCAUUGACCAAUACUUUGAGGGUGAAACAAAAUAUCUGUACUGCCAAAUAUUAGGGUCUAUGUCAAUAGGAUAGAAGCCGUCCUUACAGGGUUAACAAGAAUUCUGGACAGAAAUAUAAUUCUAAUUAAGCAUUAAUCAGACUGUAUUUUUGGAGCAGGUCAAAACUCCCAUGCUGAUCAAUACUGGGAUUGUGUCUGUGAAUAGCUGCUGCACUCCAGCCUGGGCAACAUAGUGAGAACCUGUCUCUUAAAAAAAAAAAAAUCAGGCUGCACUUUGACUCACUUCCUUGUAACCAACAGUCAGGUAGCACUAGAUAUUGACUAUUUGCAUCCCCAUUAUUCCUACAGAUAGGAUUUCUGACAGAAUCAUAAGGCUUUUGUUUGAGAAUUGCUUAAGAUGUUUUUCAGAUCUCGAAUUCCAAUGAAAUAGCUGACAGGCUGACACCAGCCAGCUUGAAGACCCCCACAGAGGAAUGGGAUCAGCAUGAGAAUAUAGUUGAUAUAGUUUGGCUGUAUAACCCAAAUCUCAUCUUGAAUUCCCACGUGUUGUGGGCCGGACCUGGUGGGAGAGAGAAUUGAAUCACGUGGGCAAGUCUUUCCUAUGCUGUUCUCAUGAUAGUGAAUAAGUCUCACAAGAUCUGAUGGUUUUAAAAAGAGGAGUUCCCCUGCACAAGCUCUCUCUCUUUGCCUGCUGCCAUCCAUGUAAGAUGUGACUUGCUUCUUCUUGCCUUUCGCCAUGAUUGUGAGGCUUCCCCAGCCACAUGGAACUGUAAGUCCAAUUAAACCUCUUUCUUUUAUAAAUUGCCCAGUCUCAGGUAUGUCUUUAUCAGCAGCAUGGAAAUGGAUUAAUACAACAGUUUCUUCAUCUCCCUGUCCCAUGACUUCACUCUAUACUCUUUGACCAAUCAACAGUCUCCAUGAUUCCACCCAUUCCGAAACCCUUGAAAACACUGGCCCCAAACUCCACAGGGAGACAGAUUUGUGGUUUCCUCCCAUGGCCUCAUUUGGCAUCCCUGCAAUUAAA
RNAcentral lists this long non-coding RNA (3543 nucleotides) under Homo sapiens (human). Its description in RNAcentral is "HSALNT0332851". The record is from RNAcentral. Lineage: Eukaryota; Metazoa; Chordata; Mammalia; Primates; Hominidae.